UAUAUUUUCAAACUGUGUGUGCCAGAGAUCAACAUACUGUUCUGACAUGUUAUAAACUCUAAGUGCUUCCUUUUGGCUUUGGAAAGCAUUAAAAUUGCCUACCUGUGUAAUAAACAAUUCCCGUGGAGAACAGCCUCAUCUUGGAGAGGCUCCAGAGAAGAGCGCAGGUGAUGAGCCUCUGGCCGUGGGCUUCCUCGCGAUCUCCACUGCCAUCUGCCUUCGGCCUGGGGGCCGUUCCUCGUGCACACGGCCUGAGCCGCAGUGCAGCGCCCACCUCCAUUGCCGGCUUUAGUCACUGUAAGUGGUCUCCGACAAGAUCAAAGUCAUCCAAGAUGCCAGCCAGCACUUAGGCAAAGCAUGUGUGUGCCGCUGCCUUCAGAUGAUCCCUAUUGUCUGGACCAAGUUCUCAAAGACACAGGAUGAGAGGACUCCAUUCGUUAGAUGAAUAUUCAUGACUAACCAUCCCGGUAUUAGCAGGCCCACUCCUAACUUGUGUGGGGCCUGGCCAAGAAUACAAAUUGAGGUUUACAUACCAGCUGAAUGCUUACAG
Phyllostomus discolor (pale spear-nosed bat) is the source of this 550-nucleotide long non-coding RNA. RefSeq lists it as uncharacterized. The transcript has 3 exons. The record is from RefSeq and is a predicted model, not a curated record. NCBI's taxonomy places the organism in Eukaryota, Metazoa, Chordata, Mammalia, Chiroptera, Phyllostomidae.